Poecilia formosa (Amazon molly) is the source of this 76-nucleotide microRNA precursor. The record is from Ensembl. Lineage: Eukaryota; Metazoa; Chordata; Actinopteri; Cyprinodontiformes; Poeciliidae.
UCAGUUAUUGACAUUGGCAUAUAUAUAUAUAUAUAUAUGUGUGUGUGUGUGUGUGUGUGUGUGUGUGUAUGUCUUU